GAUGAACGCUAGCGGCAGGCUUAAUACAUGCAAGUCGAGGGGCAGCAGUUUUGUAGCAAUACAGAAGCUGGCGACCGGCAAACGGGUGCGGAACACGUACGCAACCUUCCUUUAACUGGGAGAUAGCCCACCGAAAGGUGGAUUAAUAUCCCAUAAUAUAACUGAAUGGCAUCAUUUAGAUAUUAAAGCUCCGGCGGUUAAAGAUGGGCGUGCGUCUGAUUAGGUAGUUGGCGGGGUAACGGCCCACCAAGCCUUCGAUCAGUAGCUGAUGUGGGAGCAUGAUCAGCCACACGGGCACUGAGACACGGGCCCGACUCCUACGGGAGGCAGCAGUAAUGAAUAUUGGUCAAUGGACGCAAGUCUAAACCAGCCAUGCCGCGUGGAGGAUGAAGGCCCUCUGGGUUGUAAACUUCUUUUCUUUGGGACGAAACCCCUGUUUCUACGGGGACUGACGGUACCAGAGGAAUAAGCACCGGCUAACUCCGUGCCAGCCGCCGCAGUAA
This 503-nucleotide ribosomal RNA is filed under the name uncultured bacterium. RNAcentral describes it as "partial 16S ribosomal RNA". It matches the Rfam family "Bacterial small subunit ribosomal RNA", at positions 28 to 523 of the family's 1533-position model. The record is from RNAcentral.